GACGAACGCUGGCGGCGUGCUUAAUACAUGCAAGUCGAACGAACAGACCAGGCGUUUGUUGCUUUCUCGAUAGCCGAAGGCGUGAGUGUAACGCGUGGAAAAUGCCCUUAACAGAGUGAGAUCACCACGAAACACGGGCGAAUAUCCCGUAUAAUCUACUGCUCCGUGUGGUGGAUUGGAAAGAGUCGGCGGUUUCGUCGGUUCUGGCUGGAUUCGCGCCUUAUCAGCUUGUUGGUGGGGUAGUGGCUUACCAAGGCUAUGACGGGUAGCCGGCCUGAGAGGGUGACCGGCCACAUUGGGACUGAGAUACGGCCCAGACUCCUACGGGAGGCAGCAGUGGGGAAUAUUGCACAAUGGGCGGAAGCCUGAUGCAGCAACGCCGCGUGCGGGAUGACGGCCUUCGGGUUGUAAACCGCUUUCGCCUGUGACGAAGCGUGAGUGACGGUAAUGGGUAAAGAAGCACCGGCUAACUACGUG
This 477-nucleotide ribosomal RNA is filed under the name uncultured bacterium. Its description in RNAcentral is "partial 16S ribosomal RNA". It matches the Rfam family "Bacterial small subunit ribosomal RNA", at positions 28 to 507 of the family's 1533-position model. The record is from RNAcentral.